GGAUUCCCACAAAGGCUGAGCUGAAAAGCUUUCGCCAUUUGAGGGAGGAUUGCCAUCCGGGUACGUCCAAGCCGUCCACUUCUGGUGCCGGACAUCGGCAUGUCAGGGUCGAGCACAUUGCGGUGCCAUCCGAUGUCGAUGUUCGGGAGACGA
RNAcentral lists this non-coding RNA (153 nucleotides) under unclassified sequences. Its description in RNAcentral is "cold-seep-1 RNA". It matches the Rfam family "cold-seep-1 RNA". Rfam says of the family: Environmental, Norwegian cold seep. Environment (Cold seep) The record is from Rfam by way of RNAcentral.